RNAcentral lists this ribosomal RNA (509 nucleotides) under Anachauliodes laboissierei. Its description in RNAcentral is "partial 16S ribosomal RNA". It matches the Rfam family "Bacterial large subunit ribosomal RNA", at positions 1893 to 2594 of the family's 2925-position model. The record is from RNAcentral. Lineage: Eukaryota; Metazoa; Arthropoda; Insecta; Megaloptera; Corydalidae.
GUCUUUUUGAUUAUAAUUUAAAGUCUAACCUGCCCACUGAAUUUUUUGAAGGGCCGCGGUAUUUUGACUGUGCAAAGGUAGCAUAAUCAUUAGUCUUUUAAUUGAAGGCUUGUAUGAAUGGUUGGAUGAGGUAAUAACUGUCUCAAGUUAAUAAGUAAUAAAAUUUUAUUUUUAAGUUAAAAAGCUUAAAUAUAAUUAGAGGACGAGAAGACCCUAUAGAUCUUUAUAAAUUAAUAAAUUUAAAUUUUUUAGUUAAAAUAUGUUUUUAUCUGUUAAUUUAUUUUAUUGGGGUGAUAGAAAAAUUUAAAUAACUUUUUUUUUAGUUAAACAAUGAUUUUUGAUUAAUUGAUCCAUUAUUAAUGAUUAAAAGAUUAAGUUACCUUAGGGAUAACAGCGUAAUUUUUUUGAAGAGUUCAUAUCGAUAAAAAAGAUUGCGACCUCGAUGUUGAAUUACAAGGUUAACUUUAGGUGUAGAAGUUUAAAGUUUUGGUCUGUUCGACCAUUAAAUC